Molecule: ribosomal RNA, 253 nt
Filed under: uncultured bacterium
Lineage: Bacteria
Description: partial 16S ribosomal RNA
Rfam family: Bacterial small subunit ribosomal RNA
Source: RNAcentral
GACGAACCGAGCGAACGUUUUUCGGAAUCACUGGGCGUAAAGGGUGCGUAGGCGGUCUGGUAAGUCCUGGGUGAAAUACUUCAGCUCAACUGGAGAACUGCCCCGGAUACUGCCAGGCUAGAGGGAGGUAGGGGUCGCGGGAACUAUCGGUGGAGCGGUGAAAUGUGUUGAUAUCGGUAGGAACGCCGGUGGCGAAGGCGCGCGACUGGGCCUUUUCUGACGCUGAGGCACGAAAGCCAGGGGGGCAAACGGG